GUCUUGUAUCAGAUAGUUGAGCUCCGACCUAUGCGUCGGAGUUAGGAAAGUCCGAACACAUAGCUCUAGCUUAGGCUAGAGCGCGCGUAGCGGAUAAUUCCCGUCAGGAGUAAUCCUCGAGUUGCGAACAGUGACGAACCGAUUUAGUUCGGGUGAAACGGCAAAAUACUUACGUGUGUGCAAGAUCGUGCCCGCCCACAGCUACGCAGUUGCUGGCGGGAGAAUCGCUCGAGCCUAUCAGUAAUGAUAUGCCUAGACAAAUAACUAUCGUCCCGACAUUGCGUCGGGAAACAGAAUUCGGCUUAUAGACACAAGACUGAA
Molecule: RNase P RNA, 321 nt
Filed under: Candidatus Nomurabacteria bacterium CG_4_10_14_0_2_um_filter_30_12
Lineage: Bacteria; Candidatus Nomuraibacteriota
Also listed under: 1 other name
Description: RNase P RNA component class A
Rfam family: Bacterial RNase P class A
About the family: Ribonuclease P (RNase P) is a ubiquitous endoribonuclease, found in archaea, bacteria and eukarya as well as chloroplasts and mitochondria. Its best characterised activity is the generation of mature 5'-ends of tRNAs by cleaving the 5'-leader elements of precursor-tRNAs.
Source: RNAcentral